RNAcentral lists this ribosomal RNA (471 nucleotides) under uncultured bacterium. RNAcentral's name for it is "SSU rRNA". It matches the Rfam family "Bacterial small subunit ribosomal RNA", at positions 26 to 518 of the family's 1533-position model. The record is from RNAcentral.
AGGACGAACGCUGGCGGCGUGCUUAACACAUGCAAGUCGAGCGGAAAGGCCCUUCGGGGUACUCGAGCGGCGAACGGGUGAGUAACACGUGAGCAACCUGCCCCUGGCUCUGGGAUAGCCUCCGGAAACGGGGAUUAAUACCGGACAUUCACUUCCUUCCGCAUGGUUGGUGGUGGAAAGUUUUUCGGCCGGGGAGGGGCUCGCGGUCUAUCAGCUUGUUGGCGGGGUAACGGCCCACCAAGGCGACGACGGAUAGCCGGCCUGAGAGGGCGAUCGGCCACACUGGGACUGAGACACAGCCCAGACUCCUACGGGAGGCAGCAGUGGGGAAUAUUGCACAAUGGGCGCAAGCCUGAUGCAGCGACGCCGCGUGGGGGAUGAAGGCCUUCGGGUUGUAACCCCUUUCACCAGGAGCGAAUUCAGACGGUACCGUGGGAAGAAGCGCCGGCUAACUACGCGCCAGCACGCCGC